AAGCUCCGAGGCUUACCUUGGCACAGGUGUCCCUUGGCAUAUGCUGGUGUUUCAGAACUGGGGGAACCACUCCUUGCUCAUCCAGAGAAACCUAGAUCCAUGUGUGAGUCGACUGUAUACGCUGUCUGUAAUCUGACGUCCAGCCUGUCGGGGAGACUCGGUAAAGAUCUCUGUGGAGCAGUGAGCCAUGAGCGUGACAGCGCGGAUCGGGGGGUUGGCUGGGUGUGAAAG
This 231-nucleotide long non-coding RNA is filed under the name Homo sapiens (human). Its description in RNAcentral is "HSALNT0256841". The record is from RNAcentral. Lineage: Eukaryota; Metazoa; Chordata; Mammalia; Primates; Hominidae.